RNAcentral lists this ribosomal RNA (477 nucleotides) under uncultured bacterium. Its description in RNAcentral is "SSU rRNA". It matches the Rfam family "Bacterial small subunit ribosomal RNA", at positions 26 to 516 of the family's 1533-position model. The record is from RNAcentral.
AGGACGAACGCUGGCGGCGUGCUUAACACAUGCAAGUCGAGCGAGGCUCCUCCUUCGGGAGGAUGCCCUAGCGGCGAACGGGUGAGUAACACGUGGGCAACCUGCCCCUAGCACUGGGAUAACCCCGGGAAACCGGGGCUAAUACCGGAUACGACUUCGGAAGGCAUCUUCUGAAGUGGAAAAGGUUACUGGCUAGGGAUGGGCCCGCGGCCUAUCAGCUUGUUGGUGGGGUAAUGGCCCACCAAGGCGACGACGGGUAGCCGGCCUGAGAGGGCGACCGGCCACACUGGGACUGAGACACGGCCCAGAUUCCUACGGGAGGCAGCAGUGGGGAAUAUUGCACAAUGGGCGAAAGCCUGAUGCAGCGACGCCGCGUGAGGGAUGACGGCCUUCGGGUUGUAAACCUCUUUCAGCAGGGACGAAGCGAAAGUGACGGUACCUGCAGAAGAAGCACCGGCCAACUACGUGCCAGCAGCC